This 432-nucleotide ribosomal RNA is filed under the name Fusarium incarnatum. RNAcentral describes it as "SSU rRNA". The record is from RNAcentral. Lineage: Eukaryota; Fungi; Ascomycota; Sordariomycetes; Hypocreales; Nectriaceae.
GUAAACCUCGUACUGCCGCCUUGGAGAAGUGGCAAGUCUUCCAGUAUGGGGAGCAAACAGCUAUGGGUCAAGCCCGAUACCUUUAAGAGAAGUCUUAUUGUGAGGGCGAGUUGUAAAACACCAUAGGGCUGGCCGUCCCAUAUGAAAAGAUUUUAUUAGAAUUGAAUGAAACUUUGUUUAUAUAUUGAUAAUGACAGUAUAUAUAUCGUGUCUUGACUAAUUGCGUGCCAGCAGUCGCGGUAAUACGUAAGAGACUAGUGUUAUUCAUCUUAAUUAGGUUUAAAGGGUACCCAGACGGUCAGUAUAGCUUAUAAAAUGUUUUUACCUGACUACAUUUUUAUGUAAAAAGUCAGUACUUGCUCAGGAGAGAUGAAAUUUCUUGAUACCAAAGGGACUCUGUAAAGGCAUUUUAUAACCUCUAUGGAAAAACUG